AUGUACCCACGUACACUCCGGUUCCUCCCCCCGUCCGCGACCACCUAACGACUGCUCGCUGCGUUUUGUUAACC
This 74-nucleotide small RNA is filed under the name Xanthomonas campestris. RNAcentral's name for it is "sX9". It matches the Rfam family "Xanthomonas sRNA sX9". Lineage: Bacteria; Pseudomonadati; Pseudomonadota; Gammaproteobacteria; Lysobacterales; Lysobacteraceae. The record is from RNAcentral.